RNAcentral lists this ribosomal RNA (465 nucleotides) under Vreelandella stevensii. Its description in RNAcentral is "partial 16S ribosomal RNA". It matches the Rfam family "Bacterial small subunit ribosomal RNA", at positions 338 to 795 of the family's 1533-position model. Lineage: Bacteria; Pseudomonadati; Pseudomonadota; Gammaproteobacteria; Oceanospirillales; Halomonadaceae. The record is from RNAcentral.
CCUACGGGCGGCAGCAGUGGGGAAUAUUGGACAAUGGGGGGAACCCUGAUCCAGCCAUGCCGCGUGUGUGAAGAAGGCCCUCGGGUUGUAAAGCACUUUCAGUGAGGAAGAACGCCUGGUGGUUAAUACCCAUCAGGAAAGACAUCACUCACAGAAGAAGCACCGGCUAACUCCGUGCCAGCAGCUGCGGUAAUACGGAGGGUGCGAGCGUUAAUCGGAAUUACUGGGCGUAAAGCGCGCGUAGGUGGCUUGAUAAGCCGGUUGUGAAAGCCCCGGGCUCAACCUGGGAACGGCAUCCGGAACUGUCAAGCUAGAGUGCAGGAGAGGAAGGUAGAAUUCCCGGUGUAGCGGUGAAAUGCGUAGAGAUCGGGAGGAAUACCAGUGGCGAAGGCGGCCUUCUGGACUGACACUGACACUGAGGUGCGAAAGCGUGGGUAGCAAACAGGAUUAGAUACCCUGGUAGUC